This 433-nucleotide ribosomal RNA is filed under the name uncultured bacterium. Its description in RNAcentral is "partial 16S ribosomal RNA". It matches the Rfam family "Bacterial small subunit ribosomal RNA", at positions 29 to 507 of the family's 1533-position model. The record is from RNAcentral.
AGCGAACGCUGGCGGCAGGCCUAACACAUGCAAGUCGAACGGAUCCUUCGGGAUUAGUGGCGGACGGGUGAGUAACACGUGGGAACGUGCCCUUUGGUUCAGAACAACUCAGGGAAACUUGAGCUAAUACCGGAUGUGCCCUUCGGGGGAAAGAUUUAUCGCCAUUGGAGCGGCCCGCGUCUGAUUAGCUAGUUGGUGAGGUAACGGCCCACCAAGGCGACGAUCAGUAGCUGGUCUGAGAGGAUGAUCAGCCACACUGGGACUGAGACACGGCCCAGACUCCUACGGGAGGCAGCAGUGGGGAAUCUUGCGCAAUGGGCGAAAGCCUGACGCAGCCAUGCCGCGUGAAUGAUGAAGGUCUUAGGAUUGUAAAAUUCUUUCAGCGGGGACGAUAAUGACGGUACCCGCAGAAGAAGCUCCGGCUAACUUCGUG